This 251-nucleotide ribosomal RNA is filed under the name uncultured bacterium. RNAcentral's name for it is "partial 16S ribosomal RNA". It matches the Rfam family "Bacterial small subunit ribosomal RNA", at positions 524 to 776 of the family's 1533-position model. The record is from RNAcentral.
UACGGAGGGUGCGAGCGUUGUCCGGAAUCACUGGGCGUAAAGGGCGCGUAGGCGGCUCGUGAAGUCAGUGGUGAAAGCCCAGGGCUCAACUCUGGGUCGGCCACUGAUACUCGCGAGCUCGAGUUCGGGAGAGGAGAGUGGAAUUCCCAGUGUAGAGGUGAAAUUCGUAGAUAUUGGGAAGAACACCGGUGGCGAAGGCGGCUCUCUGGACCGACACUGACGCUGAGGCGCGAAAGCGUGGGAGCAACAGG